AUACGUAGGGUGCGAGCGUUGUCCGGAAUUACUGGGCGUAAAGAGCUCGUAGGUGGUUUGUCGCGUCGUCUGUGAAAUUCCGGGGCUUAACUCCGGGCGUGCAGGCGAUACGGGCAUAACUUGAGUACUGUAGGGGAGACUGGAAUUCCUGGUGUAGCGGUGAAAUGCGCAGAUAUCAGGAGGAACACCGGUGGCGAAGGCGGGUCUCUGGGCAGUAACUGACGCUGAGGAGCGAAAGCAUGGGUAGCGAACAGGAUUAUAUACCCUGGUAGUCCAUGCCGUAAACGGUGGGCGCUAGGUGUAGGGGUCUUCCACGACUUCUGUGCCGUAGCUAACGCAUUAAGCGCCCCGCCUGGGGAGUACGGCCGCAAGGCUAAAUCUCAAAUGAAUUGACGGUG
Molecule: ribosomal RNA, 398 nt
Filed under: uncultured bacterium
Lineage: Bacteria
Description: partial 16S ribosomal RNA
Rfam family: Bacterial small subunit ribosomal RNA
Source: RNAcentral